AAUAUCCAAUUCCUAUUUGCAUUUCCUACCUAACCGCGGAAAUCAGAUAGUCGAUACACUUUGCAUUUCGUAACUUUCCUGAGCAAUCAGAGCCGUUGAUUUCCGAACACGAACUAUCCUUCGACGAUGGAAUCGAAGGCAGAUGAUCGCCGGUGCAAGCGCAACGAUGGUCAAAAGUGGCGGUGCAGGGAAACGGCGUCGUCGGGGAAGUCGUACUGUGAAAAGCACUUGGCGCAGCUCAAGAGUAGGACUAAGAAUAAGAACAUUCAGAGAGAAAGAUCCAACGGAGACAGCGAUGCCGAUAAUCCUAAGAAGAGCUCUGAAAAGCACUCGGCGCAGCUCAAGAAUAAGACUAGGAAUAAGAAAAUUCAGAGAGAAAGAUCAGACGGAGACAGCGGUUCCGAUAAUCCUGUGAAGAAUUGCAAAUUAAAGGAGGAGAAGCCUAACAAGAAGACGGAGCAGCGUGUGAGCUUGAUGUGCCACCAGUGUCAGCGGAACGACAAGAGUGGCGUUGUCCACUGUUCUAAUUGUAAGAUAAAGCGAUUUUGCUUCGAGUGCAUUGAAAGAUGGUACCCUGGGAAGACAAGAGAGGAAAUAGCGAAGAAUUGCCCAUUUUGCUGUUGCAACUGCAACUGCAAAGAUUGCUUGCGCCAGUUUAUUAAGAAACCUUGCAACAUAAAAGUUGAGCCCAGUGUCAAAUUACAGCGGCUGAAGUACUUGCUAUAUGAAGCUUUACCUGUUCUGAGGCAUAUUCAUACUGAGCAGAGCUUUGAACUAGAGAUUGAAGCCAAAAUACGAGGUGUUCAGUUGAGUGAAAUGGACAUAACGAGAACUAAAAUAGAUCAAAGUGAACGUAUGUAUUGCGACAAUUGCUAUACAUCUAUUGUUGAUUUCCACAGAAGCUGCCCCAACAUCCAUUGUUCCUACGAUCUCUGUCUUACUUGUUGCCAAGAGCUAAGGAAAGGCUGCCAACCUGGAGGUAGUGAAGCAGAAACAUCUCACCAACAAUCAGUGGAAAGAGCUCAGAAACAAGUGACUAAAAGCGAGGACAAUACUAAUUUGAAAAGGAAAAGACAUGGCUGGGAGAGCCAAAUUACCCUUGCUGCUGAUGAUUCUAAAACUGAUGUGACUCUUUCUUUUCCUAACUGGAGAGCUAAUCCUGAUGGGAGCAUUCCAUGUCCUCCAAAAGAAUGUGGAGGUUGUGGCAAGGUAAAGCUGGAAUUGAGGCGCAAAUGUAAAGCUAAUUGGGUAACAAAGCUGUUAAAAAGUGCAGAGGAUGUUACUAGUGACUUCAAGAAGCAAGAUGUCGAUAUGUCUCAACGAUGCUCCUGGUGCCAGCCGAAUGAUUCCGAGGAAGAUAAUAACCUACAGUCUGAAGUGAGGCAGGCGGCAUUCAGGAAAAACAGUGAUGAUAACUUCUUAUACUGUCCAAGUGCUGUUGACAUUGCAGAUGAUGAAAUUGAGCAUUUUCAGAGGCAUUGGAUGAAUGGGGAACCUGUGAUAGUCAGAAAUGUUCUUGACAAGACAUCUGGUCUUAGUUGGGAACCUAUGGUCAUGUGGAGGGCUUUUAGAGAAACGGGUGCCAAGGUAAAGUUUAAGGAGGAGACACGAAGUGUGAAGGCCAUUGACUGCUGGGAUUGGUGUGAGGUUGAAAUUAAUAUUCACCAAUUUUUCACGGGCUACUUAGAGGGUCGUGUACAUAAAAGUGGGUGGCCAGAGAUGUUGAAAUUGAAGGAUUGGCCCUCAUCAACUUUAUUUGAGGAGCGACUGCCAAGGCAUUGUGCUGAAUUUAUCGCAGCACUCCCCUACAGUGACUAUACUGAUCCAAAAGAUUCAGGCAUAGGUUGUCUCAAUCUUGCUACAAAACUUCCUGUUGAUUCAUUGAAACCUGAUAUGGGACCGAAAACAUACAUUGCCUAUGGAUUUUCUGAAGAGCUUGGUAGAGGCGAUUCAGUAACGAAGUUACACUGUGAUAUGUCUGAUGCGGUCAACGUUCUGACUCACACAACAAGAGUGAGGAUCGCUCCUUGGCAGCAGAAAAAAAUAGAAGGUUUGCAGCGCAAGCAUGAAGCUGAAGACUUGUGUGAACUCUACAAUGAAAGAGAUGACGACAAUGGGAGAGUUAGAGGAAAAUCGUUGAAGAAAACUCACAAACUGCAGAUCCUGAGUGCUGAUUCUGGGGAAUGUACUAAAAAUGAGAACAUUGUGGAGAGUGACCAUCUAACGCCAAAACAGGAACAGUUGUCAGAUUCUGUGGAUCUAGGUGGCAUUGUCGGACAUGAAGAAACAGAGUAUGUUUCGGAAUCUCCUGAUACUCCGAGUCUUGAUCAUCAGAGGAGUGAACGGAUGCAAUCCACCUUGCCUCAUACAAAUGAGGUUGAAGCAGAGCAAGAACAUGUUCAAUGUUCCACCGACAUCAUGAUUGGGAGGCUUGGUGGGAAAGAUGCUUCAGGGUUUUGUUUCUCAGACAAUAAUGCAGUUGAUGAUAUAAAAAAGUCAAACGUGAGGCAAACAAAGGAUUCUCUUGAAAGUAAUGAUGGGUUAGAUGCUGCCCAUGGUGGUGCUGUUUGGGACAUCUUUCGCAACCAGGAUGUUCCCAAGUUAAUAAAGUACUUGGAUAAACACAAGAAAGAGUUUCGCCACAUUAAUAAUCAUCCUGUAGAUUCUGUUGUUCAUCCUAUUCAUGAUCAGACUCUUUACUUAAAUGAGAGACAUAAGAAACAACUAAAGGAGGAGUUCAAUGUGGAGCCUUGGACAUUUAUGCAAUACCUUGGUGAGGCAGUUUUUAUUCCCGCAGGAUGUCCUCAUCAAGUGAGAAAUACACAAUCUUGCAUAAAGGUAGCACUUGAUUUUGUAUCUCCUGAGAGUCUUGAAGAAUGUCUUCGAUUGACUGAAGAGUUCCGUUUGCUCCCAAAAAACCAUAGAGCCAAGGAAGACAAAUUGGAGGUGAAAAAGAUGACACUUUAUGCUGUAAGUUCAGCUCUAAGAGAAGCCGAAAGUUUGAUGUCAAAGCUCGAGUGAGACUUGGUCGUUUACUAUAAUACCGGAGCUCUGACUGCAAGAGGUUAUGGGUUUGAAAUCUCCAAACGAAAUCUCUCACUUAUUUGUUAAUUUGCAAGGUGGAGGAUGAGGUUGUACAUUUAUGUCUCUAUGCCUGCAUUUUUUCGACGUGUUUACACGUUGUAGGAUGGAGCUGCACGUAAGGGACUAUGUGAAUGAGGGCGUUGGUUUUGCACACAUUGUUGGCCCACUCCCUAACAGUUUAAGCUUUUGGGGUUUAGUGGUUGCCCAACAUACUAGUAGCCAGACAAUUGUUUGGUUAUGCUGUGUGCCUAUUGAAGUCAAUCUUGAAGGAGUUGCAGCUUUGUGGAGACUUCAUUGACAAUGUUGGGGCUGCUCCAUGAACAACUUUGGUUGUGAAGCCCCCAACAAUCAAUGAAGACAAGAAAAAUUUUCAAAAGCAAAAGUGGAAAGUAUCGACAGUAGAUAUGAAUGGGAGCAUAUGGUGGCAAUCACACAAAUGCAAUGAAAACGUUGUAUGGCAAGCAUGCUGAUAACUUCCCCCGUUACAUCCAACCCAUUGAAAAUUGAAGAGGAGGAGUAACCAGUUGGGCAAGAACUACAAAGCUUCUAAUCUACUUUUGUAUGUUCUCGUUAAAAAUAACAGAAUUUUAUGUAUUCACAGAAGGCGUCGUGUAUGAGGCUUUGCUAAUUGCAUACUUGCAAAAACAACUUAGUUACUAGCUGUUACACCCUUCGCUCUCCUAUCCCUAAAGUUUAUCUUUUGGUGUGACUUUGACACUAA
Molecule: RNA transcript, 3805 nt
Organism: Prunus dulcis (almond)
Lineage: Eukaryota; Viridiplantae; Streptophyta; Magnoliopsida; Rosales; Rosaceae
Gene name: lysine-specific demethylase JMJ25
Exons: 14
Source: RefSeq, a predicted model, not a curated record